This 616-nucleotide ribosomal RNA is filed under the name uncultured bacterium. RNAcentral's name for it is "bacterial SSU rRNA". It matches the Rfam family "Bacterial small subunit ribosomal RNA", at positions 28 to 638 of the family's 1533-position model. The record is from RNAcentral.
AACGAACGCUGGCGGCGCGCCUAACACAUGCAAGUCGAACGAGAAUCCGGGGCAACCCGGUAGUAAAGUGGCAAACGGGUGAGGAAUGCAUGGGUAACCUACCCUUGAGAAGGGAAUAACCCGCCGAAAGGUGAGCUAAUACCCUAUACGCUUCUCUUUUUAUGAAGAGGGAAGGAAAGCUAAGCCGUGGGCUUGGCACUCAAGGAGGGGCUCAUGUCCUAUCAGCUUGUUGGUGGGGUAACGGCCUACCAAGGCUACGACGGGUAGCUGGUGUGAGAGGAUGAUCAGCCACACUGGCACUGAGAUACGGGCCAGACUCCUACGGGAGGCAGCAGUGAGGAAUAUUGCGCAAUGGGCGAAAGCCUGACGCAGCGACGCCGCGUGGGGGAUGAAGGUUUUCGGAUUGUAAACCCCUUUUGUGAGGAAAGAGAAAGUGGGUAACCACUUAGACGGUACCUCAAGAAAAAGCCACGGCUAACUUCGUGCCAGCAGCCGCGGUAAUACGAAGGUGGCGAGCGUUGUUCGGAUUUACUGGGCGUAAAGAGCACGUAGGCGGUUGGGUAAGCCUCUUGGGAAAGCUUCCGGCUUAACCGGGAAAGGUCGAGGGGAACUACUC